RNAcentral lists this ribosomal RNA (462 nucleotides) under Triticum aestivum (bread wheat). RNAcentral describes it as "partial small subunit ribosomal RNA". Lineage: Eukaryota; Viridiplantae; Streptophyta; Magnoliopsida; Poales; Poaceae. The record is from RNAcentral.
AUGUUAACCUCCGUAUCACAGAGAAAUCUCCUGUUUUCUUUCUUGCUGUUUUCUGUCAGGUCUGUUGAGCCAGACAUCAUGUCUUUUUCCCCCUCUGAUCGUAUGGAAGAGGAUGCUUGGUUGAUGAAGAUCGAGAUGAAGAGAGAAGACCCCGUUGGAGCAGCUAAGGAGGACAAGAGCAAGGAGGCCACCGGAGAUCAAGUGUCGAUGGACGAGCAAGCAUUGCCCGCCGAUGAGGAAGAGGAAGAUAUCCUUGAACCCUACUAUGCUCAUCUUACCCCCUUUGAGAUUGCAGCCUUCAGGAUCAUUAAUAUGGUUCGUAUACAAAAUAAGUAUCUCAAUUGUGAAAAUAUUUUGCAUAUGGAGAACAUUGCUUCCCUGUGGAGAGUCAUCCGAAGAUUGGAGAGCCUCUUGAUCCUUAAAGACCGGAUUGCUUCUACUUCAUCACCACCAUCUUCUUAA